GCACAGAGUUAGCCGUCUCUUCCUCUUGUGAUACUAUCAAACUCCAACGCUAUUAACGCUAAAGUCUUGCUCUCACAUGACAGGAGUUUACAAUCCGAAGACCUUAUCCUCCACGCGGCGUCGCACCAUCAGGGUUUCCCCCAUUGUGAAUGAUUCUCGA
This 160-nucleotide ribosomal RNA is filed under the name uncultured bacterium. RNAcentral's name for it is "partial 16S ribosomal RNA". The record is from RNAcentral.